UCCACUUUGAUUUGGUUUCGUAGCUA
This 26-nucleotide non-coding RNA is filed under the name Rattus norvegicus (Norway rat). The record is from RNAcentral. Lineage: Eukaryota; Metazoa; Chordata; Mammalia; Rodentia; Muridae.